Molecule: ribosomal RNA, 887 nt
Filed under: uncultured bacterium
Lineage: Bacteria
Description: bacterial SSU rRNA
Rfam family: Bacterial small subunit ribosomal RNA
Source: RNAcentral
GCUGGCGGCAGGCUAACACAUGCAAGUCGAGCGGUAACAGAUUAGCUUGCUGGAUGCUGACGAGCGGCGGCGGGUGAGUAAUGCAUAGGAAUAUGCCUUUGAGUGGGGGACACAGUUGGAAACGACUGCUAAUACCGCAUAACGUCUACGGACCAAAGGGGGGGGUUCUUCGGAACCUCUCGCUCAUUGAUUAGCCCAAGUGAGAUUAGCUAGUUGGUAAGGUAAUGGCUUACCAAGGCGACGAUCUCUAGCUGGUUUGAGAGGAUGAUCAGCCACACUGGGACUGAGACACGGCCCAGACUCCUACGGGAGGCAGCAGUGGGGAAUAUUGCACAAUGGGCGAAAGCCUGAUGCAGCCAUGCCGCGUGUGUGAAGAAGGCCUUCGGGUUGUAAAGCACUUUCAGUUGUGAGGAAAGGGUGUUGGUUAAUAGCCAACAUCUGUGACGUUAACAACAGAAGAAGCACCGGCUAACUUCGUGCCAGCAGCCGCGGUAAUACGAGGGGUGCAAGCGUUAAUCGGAAUUACUGGGCGUAAAGCGUUCGUAGGCGGUCUAUUAAGCAAGAUGUGAAAGCCCAGGGCUCAACCUUGGAACUGCAUUUUGAACUGGUAGACUAGAGUACUGUAGAGGGUGGUGGAAUUUCCAGUGUAGCGGUGAAAUGCGUAGAGAUUGGAAGGAACAUCAGUGGCGAAGGCGGCCACCUGGACAGAUACUGACGCUGAGGAACGAAAGCGUGGGGAGCGAACAGGAGUUAGAUACCCUGGUAGUCCACGCCGUAAACGAUGUCAACUAGCCGUUUGUGCCUUGAGACGUGAGUGGCGCAGCUAACGCAUAAGUUGACCGCCUGGGGAGUACGGCCGCAAGGUAAAACUCAAAUGAAGUUGAACG